This 1035-nucleotide long non-coding RNA is filed under the name Meleagris gallopavo (turkey). Its description in RNAcentral is "lncRNA (ENSMGAG00000020924.1)". The record is from RNAcentral. Lineage: Eukaryota; Metazoa; Chordata; Aves; Galliformes; Phasianidae.
CGUUCCCAUGGUGAGAAUUCACAGCUCCAGAGCAGUUCUUUGCUUUGAGAGAAAUAGAAAGUCUUGCACAACUUGCUUGGUUUAAGUCCUGCUGUAUGACUUUAUGUUCUCAUUCCCAAAUGGGCAUUUUGGCUGCCGGUGACACGCGGAUGGCAGCCAUUGUGUUGACUUGUGCUGAUUGCUUUCCCCAUCUGACUGCAGAUGUUUUUGACUUUACCUUAAAAUCCGGACCGGGGGCUGCAUCUGUACAGCCUAGGCCACAGAGUGCUUCCCCCAGGGAGCUGCCCUGCCCUUGGGAGGGCUCUCUGGGAUGGCUGCCCCAGUGCCGGCAGCAUUUGAAGAAGUGCAUCAACCUACAAUGUAUGUUUGCCCCAAAAUGAGAAUUAUUUUCAGCACACGUCACCACCGCGUUUCUUCUGACCCAGUGCUUUUCCAGCCAGGUCUUGGCAAAUGUUCUGUUCACCGGAGUGUGGAGAAGUGAUUUACCCACAUCUGUGGGCCGAUAAAUGGCACAGAGACACCAGUGCCUUUGUCUACGUGAAGCUGUCUGGACUGAGAGGCAGAUGCUGCCCUGCAGAGACUGCUCCUGCCAUCAAGAUGACCAAUAUUUCAACAAACCCUCCAGUCCGGAAGUCAGCUCCAGCUACUGGGAUGGGGGAGAUGACAUCGCACUUCAGAUCAGGUCCCAGGCUUCUCUUCUCCCACUGGCACUGCCCAAGGGAUGCAGGUGUCCGUUCCUUGCUACCAACAAGAAUCUGGCCCUUCUCCUUUGGGGAUGUGCUGUUGCCAAGUGUCCUUUCACGAUUAUGUUGGCUUCUGUUGGCAGCGAUAGCAGGUCUCUUUUUGCUCUGUGAGGCAGCACAGCCAGAAGGGCACCUUCCUCACCUUUCAGGACAGACUUUCUCGACUUGCCGUGGAGCUUUAGGCACUCCAUUGUGUUCUGUAGGGGAGGCAAAUCCCCUCCACUUCUCUCCUGCGGAGGCACUGGGUGACCCCAAGCUGCUGGCAUGCUGGUCUCUGGGAGGAUGUCCUUGA